RNAcentral lists this ribosomal RNA (299 nucleotides) under uncultured bacterium. Its description in RNAcentral is "partial 16S ribosomal RNA". It matches the Rfam family "Bacterial small subunit ribosomal RNA", at positions 337 to 652 of the family's 1533-position model. The record is from RNAcentral.
UCCUACGGGAGGCAGCAGUCGGGAAUAUUGCGCAAUGGAGGAAACUCUGACGCAGUGACGCCGCGUAUAGGAAGAAGGUUUUCGGAUUGUAAACUAUUGUCGUUAGGGAAGAUACAAGACAGUACCUAAGGAGGAAGCCCCGGCUAACUACGUGCCAGCAGCCGCGGUAAUACGUAGGGGGCAAGCGUUAUCCGGAAUUACUGGGUGUAAAGGGAGCGUAGACGGUGAUGCAAGUCUGGAGUGAAAGGCGGGGGCCCAACCCCCGGUCGGCUCUGGCAACUGUAUGACUUGAGUGCAGG